CGCCUGUUUAUCAAAAACAUGUCUUCUAGACUAAAAAAUUAGAAGUCCGGCCUGCCCAGUGAAGAGUUCAACGGCCGCGGUAGCCUGACCGUGCUAAGGUAGCGCAAUCACUUGCCUUUUAAUUGAAGGCUAGUAUGAAUGGUCAGUCAAGGGCUAAGCUGUCUCAAAGAAAUCUAUAAAAAUUGACCCUUAGGUGAAGAGGCCUAAAUAGAAAUAAAAGACGAGAAGACCCUAUCGAGCUUUAACUUUAUUUAUUUUACUGUUAUAAUAUAAGUUUUUGUUGGGGCAACAGAGGAAAAAUAAAAUCUUCCUUCUAUUUACUAGACUACACAUUUAAAAUCGACAAAGUUUUAAAAUCUAAUUUACUAACCAUAGGUAACAGCUACCGUAGGGAUAACAGACUAAUUUCCCUUAAGAGGUCCCAUCGACAGGGAAGCUUAGCACCUCGAUGUUGGCUUAAGAUACCAGUUAUGGAGCAGUAUCCUAACUUUGUGGGUUUGUUCAACCUUUAAUAUCUUACGUGAUCUGAGUUCAGACCGGAAUC
RNAcentral lists this ribosomal RNA (544 nucleotides) under Siphonosoma australe. RNAcentral's name for it is "partial 16S ribosomal RNA". It matches the Rfam family "Bacterial large subunit ribosomal RNA", at positions 1797 to 2623 of the family's 2925-position model. Lineage: Eukaryota; Metazoa; Annelida; Sipuncula; Golfingiida; Sipunculidae. The record is from RNAcentral.